GGGCCUGCGUCUCAUUAGCUACCAUGGAAAGGUAACGGCUUACCAUGGCUACGAUGGGUAGGGGUCCUGAAAGGGAGAUCCCCCACACUGGUACUGAGACACGGACCAGACUCCUACGGGAGGCAGCAGUGAGGAAUAUUGGACAAUGGGCGCAAGCCUGAUCCAGCCAUGCCGCGUGCAGGAAGAAGGUCCUAUGGAUUGUAAACUGCUUUUAUACAGGAAGAAACACCUCUACGUGUAGAGACUUGACGGUACUGUAUGAAUAAGGACCGGCUAACUCCGUGCCAGCAGCCGCGGUAAU
Molecule: ribosomal RNA, 301 nt
Filed under: uncultured Bacteroidota bacterium
Lineage: Bacteria; Pseudomonadati; Bacteroidota
Description: bacterial SSU rRNA
Rfam family: Bacterial small subunit ribosomal RNA
Source: RNAcentral